AUUAAUUGAGCCUAAUGAAUGCAGGUCAAGUCAAACUCAACUGGGUGAUGCCUAAACCCCAUCAAUUUCUUUUCUUUACACGUUAUCCUUGAUUUUCUCCACGUGUCCAAACUUUCUAAUUUGGACAUCCUAAGUUCACGCAUCUUUUCCCUUGCUCCACAUUGAAUCCCCUCUUCAGCGAAAUAGCCUUCCACUGUGUCCAAGUUCCUCCCAGCAUUCCACCUACUAUGUGAGUCCUCCCAAACUUAAUAGCCACGUGAACCUCUUCCCACCAAAUAGUCUCAAAUGGAUCUGCUCCCAGCCGAGUGGACAUGUAGCCAAAAGAAAUCACACGCUCAUCCCCAGAUCCCAGCUAACCGCAAAUCAAAGCCUCUCUUAUCCCUUCUUCGGAACAAAUCCCAGCAUUACGAUUCAUCUUCACCCCAUGUCAAAGCUCCUUCCAAAUCCCUUGCGUUCCACGACAUUCACCCAGCUCACCAUGUUCAUGAUCUAUCUUCAUCCCGUAUCCAAACAAAAUCCCUUGCUCCCAACUGCUUCAUCCUCCCAAAUCCCACUAUCAGCCACAUCAUCCUUCCCAGCAUCUUCCGGACCAUCCUCCCCUUCUCCCGUGUUCCAACGAAACAGAGCUGAAUCCAUCUCUAUCGCAUUUCAACUCAUCUCUCAUCCUAUGCUUUGAAACCAAGUUCCGGAUCAACCUCAUCCGCAGCCAUUCCCGAGCUUCUUCUCAUUCCGGAUUGAUCCUAUCAUCCAUAGGAUAAGGUUUAGGUGUUCAUUCCGAAGCUAGAUCCCAUGAUCUUCGAAUCAAACUUUCUCCCCUGCUUCCGAAUUUCCCAGAUUUCUUCCCAGCUGCC
RNAcentral lists this long non-coding RNA (851 nucleotides) under Phoenix dactylifera (date palm). RNAcentral describes it as "long non-coding RNA (PDAC_LNC012971)". Lineage: Eukaryota; Viridiplantae; Streptophyta; Magnoliopsida; Arecales; Arecaceae. The record is from RNAcentral.